CAAUCGCAUUACAAAGAGAAAGCUGGAAUCCAGGCAAAGGACUCUGUUGUUCCAACCCUGUGGUCGAGGCUCUGUCAGGGAAAGUCCUCAUUCAGAGCUGUGGGAGACAUGUGUAGCUUGUGCCUGCCCACUCUCUCUUCUUCAGCCUGAAACCUGAGAGCCUGAAAGAGGCGAGAAGACCAAUGAGGAGACUUUGGAAAUGCCCAGAGGAAAUCAUGAGAGAGCUUCAAGUGGAAGACAAACACAUGUUUUAAAGCCACCACUAUUUUUGCAGUUGCUCCUCAGAUAGAGGUUGAGAGCAUCACAGGAAGACAGGGAGGGAAGACUUCUGUUUUGUUUGGCGAGAAUCCCUCUCAGAGGCUUUUGAAUUAAGCAAAGGGAAGCUAAGGACUCUUCUGAAAAGAUCUUCACUGAGGGGAGGGCCACAUCUCUCUCAAGAUAUUUCUGUGUCAUCAGGGAAGAGAGAAUUCUCCUCUCUCUGGAAGGAAGUAGGAGUUGGAGCUUCAACCCUGAUUUGGGGGAGAGAUGGCUAAAGGCACUACGGACUGUGGGAACCAGGGCAACCCCACAAAACUGUGGCAGGAGAGGAGCGGCACCAGUUGGAGUGCCCAUGAGCAUGACGUAUGUGCUCUGGGAUAUGUGAAGUCCAGGAUUCAGGGUCCAGGUUAUCUUUUCUAUGAAGCAUUUUUCUCCUCUUACCUCCAGGCUGCAGUAAAAGGUUUAGGGCUAAGGCAAUGAGAGAUGUCCAGCAGAGAACUCAGGAGCAGGAGCCCAGAAGAAGACCCUUAGAACAGAUACGGGGAACACGGAAACAUUCCUCAAAGACCCCCAGAAAUAAUUGGCAAGGGCAGCCAGGUGCAAGACUAUAAUUCCACUGGAUCAACUAAGAGAAGAGCUCGAACAAUUGUAAGGCAAUCAUCCAUGUAAGAUGCAGAAUCCCAGGACAUCUGGGUUACAAUGAACUCAACAGAAUUGACUGAGAACCAGUUCUGUAUCCGGAACUAGAAAGACAAUGAUGAGCAAGAUGUUCAUGGUCUUGAGCCUCACACAUACAACAAAUGCUCACUGAAUAUGUGCUUGUUGAUUCCAAUAGAGAUUACAGUCUGUGAAGGUGGCAAACUUUUUCUCUAAAGGGCCAGAUAACAAAUAAUUUCAGCUUUGUGGGUCACGUGGUAGUGGCAUCUACUCAAAUCUACCACUGUAGCGUGAAAGCAGCCGUGGACAAUGCAUAAACAAAUAAGCAUUGCUGUGUUCCAAUAAAGCUUUAUUUAUAGACAUUGAAA
RNAcentral lists this long non-coding RNA (1283 nucleotides) under Equus caballus (horse). RNAcentral describes it as "lncRNA (ENSECAG00000058575.1)". The record is from RNAcentral. Lineage: Eukaryota; Metazoa; Chordata; Mammalia; Perissodactyla; Equidae.